AGGCACAACCUACUGGGACACACAGGGCGCUGGAGGAAGGAGGAGGAGUAAUGCUCAGCCCCUGCCCCACUGUGCCUUCGGAAGCUGGUGACCAGCCAGCCAACAUUUCGAGGCAGGCACACAUCCUUUGGGAUUUAUGAAUCCAACUUCUUGCCUCCUGCAAAGCGAAAGGGGAUGAUUGGGCCAGGAGGAAGUGACUCGGGAAGGGCAGUUUUGCUGUAAGAACAGGAGGAACAAGUGUUGCAAGAAGAGGACGGAUGUUGGAUCUGAAGCUUUGAUGAUAAAAUUGGAUUGAGAGAGAGGCCACUGAUAGAUGAAGCUGUUUUCCACUGGGCAUGGACACUGUAUGAAGAUGAGUGAAUCGGGAAAGGACAAUGUCAGUGCCAGACCAGCUCUCCUCUUGGACCAUCUUGACCCUGUUCUCGAACUGAAGGCACUUGAAUGUACCUGAUGGCCCUCAACCACUAGACAUCAGUUGGAAGAAGAAAAGUUUUCCUUCUUCAACAGUUCAACAGUUUGGGUGAUAAGGACCGGAUGGUAGGGGUGCCCUGCUCACCUAGAGACUGUAGCUGAGAUCUUGGGACCUCUGACCAAGCUGACAGGUAAGUUUCCUUACCAGCCAGACUCCCAGGUCUCUCGGGGUCUGGUUGAGCAAAGGCAGUAAGAGCUUCUCUCUUUUUUUUUCUUUCCAGGGUUGAGAUUAGCAGGAGAAAAUACUUAACACGAACUAGUUCUUUGUAUAUUGUGACUCGGUUUUUUUUUUUUUUUUUUUUUUUGCUGUGAAGAUAUUUUUAUUUACUUUUUUUGAACUUUUGAAUUUUAUUUAUUUUUUAUACAGCAGGUUCUUAUUAGUUAUCCAUUUUAGGCAUAUUAGUGUAUACAUGUCAAUCCCAAACUCCCAGUUCAUCCCACCACCACCACCACUUUACCCACUUGGUGUCCAUAGGUUCGUCCUCUACAUCUGUGUCUCUAUUUCUGCCCUGCAAACCAGUUCAUCUGUACCAUUUUUCUAGUUUGAGUGCUCUUAUUGUAGAUCCUUUCCCUCCCAGGGAUAGCCACUCUGUCCUAUCUGUUCAUCUUUGUGUGUCCUGAGAGCUUGGUUUGUAUCUAGUAAGUACAUUCACUCUCUGGUUUUCUGUCUGCCCAGGGAUGCAGAUUUUUGGGUCUGUGUUCAGAAGAAGCCAAACAUAGGUUGAGAUCAUGAGAAUCUGUAGACUUCAGGACAAAUAUGUGAGGAGACUGGGCACCCCAUUUGUGGCUGGUAUCCUGCUAACCAUUACCAGCUCUUAGUGCGUUCAUCUCAGUCUAGAUAAAGGGUCUUAGUCCGUAAGGACCUUAUCCUCUGUUUCCUCGUUGCCUUGCUUGUGCUGGGAAGUCCUAUCCCAGUAUCACCUGCCUGGUGUCAGACACAGAUCAGAAGGUCUGUAACUGGAGGUGUCUCACUUUAAAACACACAAAAAAAUUAUUUUCUUUAUUUUUUUGGCUGCAUCAGGUCUUUGUUGCAGCAUGUGGGAUUGUGGCGUGUGGGUUUUCUCUCUCUAGUUGUGGCGCGCAGGCUCAGGGCGCAUAGGCUCUGUAGUUGUGGCGUGCGGGCUUAGUUGCCCUGUGGCAUGUUGGAUCUUAGGUACCAGACCAGGGAUCGAACCCGCGUCCCCUGCAUUGGAAAGUGGAUUCUUUACCACCGGAACACCAGGGAAGUCCCGAGGUAGCUCACUUUUAUGGGAAACUAGAGACACAUGUUUUCACAAACACCACUCCCAUCACCUGUGGCAAAUGAGAUUCUUUGCUUUCUUUCUCUUUGGCUAUUGAUGGGAGUGACUAAAUUAUGGGUCUUCAUUUUCUGCACCCUUUUGGGGGGUUGCCUCUUGUGUCCAUGGCUAAAUCAUUAAAAGGUCCAUUGGUUUUGAGGCACAUUUUAGAAUACAUAUACGUUUGCAGAUCCUAAGUCGUCAGUGGCUAGACAACAGAUCUUUUGAUUUGAAAAAGAGUUUAUAUUUGUAAGAAUUUUUAGAGAACUCUCACCCUAAACAAAUAUCCUAUUACCAGUAUGGAAAAAUCAAACUGAAAGGAGGACAUAAAGAAAGAUCACAGCUAGCUUAAAAGUCUCCCUUAACAAAAUUAAAGAACAGAAAUCAAAAUCUAUAUCCACCAUAAACUCCCUCCUCCACCUCCCUGCUACAAAUGGCCCACUUGGGCCUUUCCCCUGAAGGUUAAUUGGGCUAAAGUGGAAUGAAGUACUCAGAGGGAAGGAAUACAUCCUAAAGCCUUUGUUGAACGAUUUAUAAAAACAUUCCAAAGACACAGAGCUCUAAAUCCAGAAGCCCUGGAACAUAGGAAUCUUGGUUUCUGCCUUAAUUGGAACUCUCUCUGAUAUACGUAAGAAUUUCAAAAUAAUAUAGUUGGAUGGGUAGGCCAGCCCCUUAAUAUCACUAUUGAGGCUGCCACUCAAUUCUUUGAAGAAUUAAAAAUACCUGUCCUGGGCUUCCCUGGUGGCACAGUGGUUGAGAGUCCGCCUGCCGAUGCAGGGGACACGGGUUCGUGCCCCGGUCCGGGAGGAUCCCACAUGCCGCGGAGCGGCUGGGCCCGUGAGCCAUGGCCGCUAAGCCUGUGCGUCCGGAGCCUGUGGUCCACAAUGGGAGAGGCCGCAACAGUGAGAGGCCCGCGUACCGGAAAAAAAAUUAAAAAUCUGUCCUUAUCUUACUAACCAAGUCUUUAUAAAAUCAGAAAUAUGGCUCUAGAAGUAACCCAAAGUACACCCAUCUUUCUGACCAGUUCCAAAGCCUCCCCUAUUCAUCUCAAGAUACUUGCUGAUACUUUAAGAAGUCAGGAUGUUGGAAAAGGGACUGACCUGAACUUAAGAAAAAGGGACACAAAUAGUAAUUACGCUAGGCCUCAGCCUCCUCAGUCCCGCUCCUCUGAAACCUCUUCGCAACUAGGCCUCAACCUGGGCCAAUUAGAAACUACAGACUCUCAACACAAAUAAUUCUGCCCACCUACUACAUCCCCCUCUCCCCCUCCCCCCUUAAAAAUGCCUGUUUGCAAAGGCUCAGUGCUCCCAGACGAAUUUACUGUUGUCCCAGCCAAAAUCUGGUAAUAGGCAAAUAUGCCCCUGAAAACGCUCUUAGAGCAGUUAUUUUAAAAGGUUGCUUUCUUCCUCUCCCUCUUUGAGAUGUAAAUCUUCUACCACCCAGAACCAUCUUCUCCAGGACCCGAGAGCCAUCUCUUUAAAAUGCAAACAUCCAAGGAAAUUAGGCUGGCUCUCAGCCUGAGGGAUCCCUUGCUUUUAAUUGUACUAUUGCUUUCUGUCAUAAAAUAUAAGAAAUUUAUUUCUCCUCUUAAUAAAAACCAAUUAAUAUCCCCCUUUAAUGAGCCCCCAGUGCUCUUUUCCUUAGCACUCCCCGGGCUUUAAAAAGUAACUUCUCGGGACUUCCCUGGUGGUCCAGCAGUUAAGACUCUGCGCUCCCAAUGCAGGGGGCCCAGCUUCGAUCCCUGGUCAGGGAACUAGAUCCUGCACGCCGCAACUAAAAAGAUCCUGCACGCGGCAACUAAGACCCGGCAUAGCCCAACAAACAAACAAAUAAAUAAACAGUAACUUCUCAGGCCACUAAAACAACCACCUGAGUGAGACUGAACUACAGCCCCCACUGAUUAUACAUCAAGGCAAAGAAAAGGUCUUAAAGGUCUCCCCCACAAAUAUUGGUAAAAAGCUUUAGCCCAUAGGUUGAACAAAUAACAACUCAUUUCAUCUGCUAGAAACAUAGUCUGAAUAAAAAGUGGGACAAAGACAAACACUAAUUCUUACCUAAACUAAUAAAUUUUGGAUUACUAUGAAAGCUGUAAGGUCUCUAUUUGUGUCUGCAUGUAUGCUAAUGUCUGUCUAUGUAUGUAAUAUGUAUAUGUGGUAUUUUCUUACCCCUGGAUGGUAUAGCCAAAUUAAUUUAUAAAAUUCCUUAAAAGAGCUCUACUUUAAUUGGCUUAGAGAAAAAUAAAAACAUAUAAAUGAAAUUUUCCUAAAACUCAGAAAUCUAAAUUUUUUUUCAAAUUCACAUGAUUUGGGUAAAUCUUUAGUAAAUAAGACUAGUUUAAUAUCAUUUGUUUAAUAAUAAAAAUAACUGUUUCUUCUGAGUUAUCAGCAUUAUGAUACAAACAUAUAUUUUCAGACUACUUGGGUUUACUAAUCAAAUAAGCUAUUAUUUACUAUAUGUUUAAGAUUAUAAAACUUACAGAUUUUAUUUUUUUUAUUGGAGUAUAGUUGCUUUACAAUGUUGUGUUAGUUUGUGUUGUAUGGCAAAGUGAAUCAGCCACACGUAUAUAUAUAUCCCCUCUUUUUUGGAUUUCCUUCCCAUUUAGGUCACUACA
This is a long non-coding RNA of Orcinus orca (killer whale), 4359 nucleotides long. RefSeq lists it as uncharacterized. The record is from RefSeq and is a predicted model, not a curated record. NCBI's taxonomy places the organism in Eukaryota, Metazoa, Chordata, Mammalia, Artiodactyla, Delphinidae. The transcript is spliced from 4 exons.